GUCGGCCUGGUGAGGCCACAGGAGGAGACACAGGAGAGGCUCAGGAAAACAAAGCUCAUCAUACUCACAGGAAUUUGACGUCAAGACUUGCCCUAUGUGACUAAUUCUUACGUGUUAUUCACCUGGGGGCAAUAAUCCUUGGAUUGGUGUGCAGUAAAUUUGGCGUGACGACAUGUUGUCAUCAGUGGAUCCAGGAUAGGCACUGCCCAGAUCUCCUUCCAGCCGGAGGCCCUCCUCCUUCCUCCAUCUGCGGAGAGUGUGCUGGGAGUCUUAGCCAUCCACAGCUGAGGCUUUCUCAGGGACUGUGCUCACCUUAUGAAAGCUGCCUCUCCCAGCCUGCGGCCCCUCCCUGAGGGGAAGCCACUUCUCAUGACUGAGGAGGACGACAACACUCAGCCUCCUAGCCUUAACCGAGAUGACUCAGAAGAGCCACCUGAGCUCCAGAGCUCCCUGUGCAAUUGGUCAAGACCUCUGUUGGAACCGCAGCUCAGUUCACCUUUGCCUGCUGCCUGGUGCUGCUUCUGUCACCCCCUCACCUUACAGGACCAAUUUGCUGCACUGAGACCUCAACUACGCCCAUACUAUUUGAAGCGUAUUCCAGACAUAAUAUUAUUUCAUCUGAUGAAGAAAACUGGGACAACUGCCAAGACUGCUUUGGCGUCUCCUGCUGCAGAGUGAAACAGUGGCUGGGACUUCAGGAACAUUCAGGGCCGCUGAUAGAUUGAGGAGGGGAUUUGAGAGAGAGGGGGAUAAAAUUUCCUGUUGCUUCUGAAGAACAGUAUAAUAAGGUAAAUUAUUAAGAAAGG
Non-coding RNA from Microcebus murinus (gray mouse lemur), 806 nucleotides. The record is from RefSeq and is a predicted model, not a curated record. NCBI's taxonomy places the organism in Eukaryota, Metazoa, Chordata, Mammalia, Primates, Cheirogaleidae.